GGGCAAAACUUUUUUAAGCAUAUAUAAGGGGGGUAGAGGUGUUGGAGGCAGACUGAGGCGCAGGCAGGCAGACGGCAUAGGCGUCCCGUGGGCUUAGCAGGCGUGCUGCGUGGGCGCUUGAUGGCAUGCAUGGCUUGUCCGUGCUACGCCGUUGGGCGUUUACAAAAACACGUCGGCGACGUCGACGGGUCGAGUGGGCAACGGCAGGCGGACGCCGAGGGCGUCCUGUGGGCUUAGUAGGCGUGCUGCGUGGGCGCUUGAUGGCAUGCAUGAUUCGUCCGUGCUACGUCGUUGGGCGUCUACAAAAACAUGCUAGCGACGUUUGCGGGGCAACUGAAGCGAAGGCAGGCGGACGUCGAGGGCGUCCUAUUGGGCU
RNAcentral lists this ribosomal RNA (376 nucleotides) under Solanum cheesmaniae. RNAcentral describes it as "partial 5' external transcribed spacer". Lineage: Eukaryota; Viridiplantae; Streptophyta; Magnoliopsida; Solanales; Solanaceae. The record is from RNAcentral.